This is a long non-coding RNA of Thalassophryne amazonica, 377 nucleotides long. RefSeq lists it as uncharacterized. The transcript has 4 exons. The record is from RefSeq and is a predicted model, not a curated record. NCBI's taxonomy places the organism in Eukaryota, Metazoa, Chordata, Actinopteri, Batrachoidiformes, Batrachoididae.
UUCUUACCUGUCUGUAUAAAGAGGGGCACAUCUGCCAGCCAGUAGGCACAGAUAUCAGCACCUACUGUCAAUCACAUACUUUGCUCUCUCUUACAAGUCUUUUGACUCUGAAUAAAGCAUCAGGAUGAAGUGUGCUGCUCUCUUUCUGGUGUUAUCAGUCAUCAUCUUCAUGGCUGAACCUGGAGUGGGUCAACAGACCCACAUUGGACACGGUGGCAGUGGAAACAUCCAGGUUGGAGGAAAACAGCUUGAAAAGCGUCAAAUGUCGUUUGAAGACGAUAACUUGCCAGACCUUACGUAUUCGUCGUGAACCUGUGACGGCUCGUCUGAAGGGACGUCUGAAGAUUUGAUCUUUCUGCAGCUAUGACCAUGAAUAC